Molecule: long non-coding RNA, 2050 nt
Organism: Pogonomyrmex barbatus (red harvester ant)
Lineage: Eukaryota; Metazoa; Arthropoda; Insecta; Hymenoptera; Formicidae
Source: RefSeq, a predicted model, not a curated record
UUUCAUAUAGAAAUUUAGCACCUAAGAGUCUGGUUGCCUGAGGAAUUCGCUAUGAUUCUCUUAAUUUGUCGUUUAUUAAUAUGCACUCGGCUUAUAUUAAUGUAUUGUAAAUUGAUUUAUUUUUAUAUAAUUUUUAUAAUUAGGAGAAUAAUUAUAAUUAGGAGAAGAUCAAAGAUAAGAUGAUACAAGUGACACGAAUGUGAGAAAAAUUCGUAACGGAUUAUAGAAGUUAUUUUCUUUCGAAAGAAUCACGUUUUAUCUCGGCUCAACAGAGCCUCACGUGCGGUCGCUUUCAUCUGUUCUUCAUUCGUCUCUCCGUUUGUUUAUCAGCUACGUGGCGUAUUAUCAGCCACCAGUAAUGCCGAGCCACCAAUAAUGAAACGGCACCUUCGUCAGUUGCCGAAGUGCAGUCUUAUCAUCUCGCGUCACGUCGCGUUUCGCUCUACCGCUUGUUCGGGAAAAAUGAAAUCGAGAAGGAAAUCGAUAAGAAGCAGGGAAAGGAAAACGAGGAAAAUCGCUAACUGAGAAUGGCUCCUUUUCGUUAUCGAUUACGAUGUAUGUGUAAUGUAAAUUGAAUUAAUGCUAGUGGAAUAUUACGGUGCGACUACACGUAUAUGGCGAUAACAGAUGGCCUUGGAUUGACUCAGUGUGCUCGUUAUCUUGUGAAAUUAGCCUCAUAGAGUUGUGUCUUUAAUAAAGGCUUGAUUAGAAGCAGCGGAAUUUAUUCUAGUGAAGUGCGGAAACACAAGUGUACGACGCGAGCGCGCCACAAUUUUACGUUAGAAUGAGACCAGAAACUUUAACCGGUAAACUCAAGCAAUAUCAACGUGGCAAGAGGGAAAUCUCUCGUGGGCUCGCGCCGCAUCCUUUGACGUGGAUUUUUCCUGGCAAAGUUUCUUCAGUAUCUCGUUCACGGCGGAAGGAAAAGUCGAACUAAUAAAACCACGAUUAUCUGUGCCCUCUUCACAACAAGAAUUUUCGCGACUGUGUGUUUAAGGGGAUGCUAAACUGACGUACGAACUCCGACAAAACGUUCACACAUCUACACAUGCACAUCUACACAUACAUAGAUACAUUUAUGUAUACACUCAUACAUACAUUUCUGUACACACAUGAUGCACAUAUGAACAAAUUUUGUGAUAUUCCUCUGAUCGUAAUAAGUGUCUAAGCCUAAUUCUAAGAACUCAAUGUUGCUUCUUCAUGUAACCUUCUAGUCUAGCAAUAUCAGUUUUGUAGGUACAGUAAAGGUGUUUUGUAGAUACUGUAAAAGUUUCAUAUAAAGCAAAUAUUUACGCGACUUGACUUUUGGACGCCAUUUUACCAAAUGAUAAAAAAGAUCAAAAAGAUUAAAAAAUUUUUUCUUGUUCUUGAUACGAAAUUUAUAUGCUAAGCAUGUAUUAAUGUAAACUUUAAUUGUGGAAAGGAUUUCCAGAUUAAUAAAGUUAAUGAAAAAAUGAGAGCAAUACAAAAAUUACUGCGUUUUGUCGAUAAUAUAGACAAGUUCAGUAUCGCCUUAAGGCGAUGCUGGAGAUACCGACUGAGUUGAUUAUUUUCAGACAAGGUAAUCUUUUCAUUGAUUAUACAGAAUUAAAAAUCCUUUUUCAGAAUUGAAGUAUAGACAAUAACGCACCCGCGUCUGUAUAUUUCAUAUAAAAGAGGAAAAAAAAUUAGAAAAUUACAAUUUUGUUAUCGACUUUUGAGGUUAACUUGUGACAACAUUUUGUUGUACACAAAAGUUUAGACUUUGAACAUAUAAACAACACAUACUCAUCCAGGUCGGAAUUAUAAGGAAGAAUAAUACUAUGCUUUUAAAAAUAUGCCAAGCAGCUGUAUAUAAGAGAAUAUUUUGCCUGAAAAUUUUAUGGAUAUGAUGCGUGCCUAUAUGUAUGAGUAUAUGUAUGUAUACAUAAAUGUAUCUAUGUAUGUUUAGAUGUGCAUGUGAACAUUUUCGUCGGAAUUCGCCUCGUCAGUCCAGCAUCGCCAGGUGACCGUAAAAACGGUCGGCUGGAUUAAAACGCCGUCCGAUCGACGGAAUGGGAAUGAAAAAAAA